Molecule: ribosomal RNA, 375 nt
Filed under: uncultured bacterium
Lineage: Bacteria
Description: bacterial SSU rRNA
Rfam family: Bacterial small subunit ribosomal RNA
Source: RNAcentral
UACGGAGGGUGCAAGCGUUAAUCGGAAUUACUGGGCGUAAAGCGCACGCAGGCGGUCUGUCAAGUCGGAUGUGAAAUCCCCGGGCUCAACCUGGGAACUGCAUUCGAAACUGGCAGGCUAGAGUCUUGUAGAGGGGGGUAGAAUUCCAGGUGUAGCGGUGCAAUGCGUAGAGAUCUGGAGGAAUACCGGUGGCGAAGGCGGCCCCCUGGACAAAGACUGACGCUCAGGUGCGAAAGCGUGGGGAGCAAACAGGAUUAGAUACCCUGGUAGUACACGCCGGAAACGAUGUCGAUUUGGAGGUUGUGCCCUUGAGGCGUGGCUUCCGGAGCUAACGCGUUAAAUCGACCGCCUGGGGAGUACGGCCGCAAGGUUAAA